Molecule: ribosomal RNA, 497 nt
Filed under: uncultured bacterium
Lineage: Bacteria
Description: partial 16S ribosomal RNA
Rfam family: Bacterial small subunit ribosomal RNA
Source: RNAcentral
ACUCAAAGGAAUAGACGGGGGCCCGCACAAGCGGCGGAGCAUGCGGAUUAAUUCGAUGCAACGCGAAGAACCUUACCAAGGCUUGACAUAUAGAGGAAACGUGCAGAAAUGUACGCCCCGCAAGGUCUCUAUACAGGUGGUGCAUGGUUGUCGUCAGCUCGUGUCGUGAGAUGUUGGGUUAAGUCCCGCAACGAGCGCAACCCUCGUCCUAUGUUGCCAGCACGUAAUGGUGGGAACUCAUGGGAGACUGCCGGGGUCAACUCGGAGGAAGGUGGGGAUGACGUCAAAUCAUCAUGCCCCUUAUGUCUUGGGCUUCACGCAUGCUACAAUGGCCGGUACAAAGGGCUGCGAUACCGUAAGGUGGAGCGAAUCCCAAAAAGCCGGUCUCAGUUCGGAUUGAGGUCUGCAACUCGACCUCAUGAAGUUGGAGUCGCUAGUAAUCGUGGAUCAGCAACGCCACGGUGAAUACGUUCCCGGGCCUUGUACACACCGCCCGU